RNAcentral lists this ribosomal RNA (450 nucleotides) under Asperspina sp. ZSM DNA AB35081755. Its description in RNAcentral is "partial 16S ribosomal RNA". Lineage: Eukaryota; Metazoa; Mollusca; Gastropoda; Acochlidiacea; Asperspinidae. The record is from RNAcentral.
AGCUCUACGUUUAUAUGUGUAGGGUGAGUUCUGCCCAUUGAGAUAAGUUAUAAAUAUUUUAAAAGGCCGCAGUAAUUUGACUGUGCUAAGGUAGCAUAAUCAUUUGUCUUUUAAUUAAAGUCUAGUAUCAACGAAUAUUUCCUUUUUAGCUGUCUCUUUAUUUAAUAAACAGAAUUUACAUUUUAGGUGAAAAUUCCUAAGUAUUUAUAUAAAAGACGAGAAGACCCUAGGAGCUUUAAUUAUUUUCUUUUUUUUAGGUUUAUUGUUUUUGUUGGGGCAACAUUUUUUUUAACAAACUAAUUUUUGCAAAAACUAUUUAUUGAUUAAGUUUAAGUUACCCUAGGGAUAACAGCACAAUUUUAUUAGUAAGCUUGUGACCUCGAUGUUGGAUUAGGUUGUUUAGUAUUCAGAAAAUACUAAUUUUAGUUCUGUUCGAACUCUAGUGUGCCU